GAUGAACGCUGGCGGCGUGCCUAAUACAUGCAAGUCGAGCGAACGGACGAGAAGCUUGCUUCUCUGAUGUUAGCGGCGGACGGGUGAGUAACACGUGGAUAACCUACCUAUAAGACUGGGAUAACUUCGGGAAACCGGAGCUAAUACCGGAUAAUAUUUUGAACCGCAUGGUUCAAAAGUGAAAGACGGUCUUGCUGUCACUUAUAGAUGGAUCCGCGCUGCAUUAGCUAGUUGGUAAGGUAACGGCUUACCAAGGCAACGAUGCAUAGCCGACCUGAGAGGGUGAUCGGCCACACUGGAACUGAGACACGGUCCAGACUCCUACGGGAGGCAGCAGUAGGGAAUCUUCCGCAAUGGGCGAAAGCCUGACGGAGCAACGCCGCGUGAGUGAUGAAGGUCUUCGGAUUGUAAAACUCUGUUAUUAGGGAAGAACAUAUGUGUAAGUAACUGUGCACAUCUUGACGGUACCUAAUCAGAAAGCCACGGCUAACUACGUA
This 497-nucleotide ribosomal RNA is filed under the name uncultured bacterium. Its description in RNAcentral is "partial 16S ribosomal RNA". It matches the Rfam family "Bacterial small subunit ribosomal RNA", at positions 28 to 507 of the family's 1533-position model. The record is from RNAcentral.